Aquila chrysaetos chrysaetos is the source of this 1353-nucleotide long non-coding RNA. RefSeq lists it as uncharacterized. The transcript has 3 exons. The record is from RefSeq and is a predicted model, not a curated record. Lineage: Eukaryota; Metazoa; Chordata; Aves; Accipitriformes; Accipitridae.
UGGAGGGGCUGGCAUGGCAGCAGAGCUGCGCUCCUCCUCCAUGGGGACAGCAUGUCCCCGCCUGGUCCUGCUGGUGUCCUGAGAGCCCCCAGGAGCUGAGGGGCACAUGCAGAGGCAGCUUGGUUUCGUGGCAGGGAGGUCCACGUUGGCUGUCCUGUACGCUGCUCUCUCCUGGCAGCUGGAGGCUCGUGCACGGAGGCGAAACCACCCCACGCGUCGUUUGGUAACUUCGGGACCUGAGCCUGUAGCAUCCGAGAUUUGGGUGCAAGGCCUCUUUUGGUCUUGGUGACCCUGAGCCACGUGGCAUCCUGCCCCCCGGGUUUGUGGGGUGCUGCGGGUGGUAGUUCACACGCUGCGUGGUGUAAUGCCCGCCUGCAAAGUGCACGGCAAGGGAGGUGUCGAUGCAGCCUGGGAAGGCAGGAUAGGUGUGAGUCUCUUCCACCAGGUACGCCUCAACCAAAAUACCUGGCUCUGCACCAAAGGAACUGGGGUUGGAGACAUGUGAGAGGCACCCAGCCGUCAGGGGUGUCCGUGACAGUCCCUUCAAGGGAUGGACUUGACCGAUUUGGGUGAACUCGGGGAUUGUCCAGCUCUGCAUUGAGGUUUGCCUGGAGUCAGCCUGGCUGCGGCCAUUUCUCCUCCCUGUCCACAGUGUCUCAAAAGGUCUCUGUGCAGGCUCUGUCACCCUGGACAUCACCUGGAAGGAGGAAGAGGAGCUGGAUCCAAGCACAGGUCCUGGCAUCUCGGACAACCCCACACCCCGUGCCUCAGCAUCUGCUGCUGCAGCAGCAAGAAGGGGAAGACAACUUCUGGGAGAUGAGGGCUUGCUCAUGGUUUGCUGGGGACAAGGUCCAGGGUGGGACCCCGCACCCCUGGAAGGGUGCUUGAGCACCUGGAGAGCUCAACGGUUAAAUUUUGAGCUGCACCCUGCCUAUUUGUCUGCCUGGUAUCAGCUCAGGAGCCAGGGUGCAGAAGUGCAGGAGGACCUGAACCUCCUCGGUCUGCUGCAGAUGAAGGAAAAGGUGCGGGUGUGAUUCAUGCAGCAUGCGUCCUCCCAGAGCAUCAGAUUUUCUCCCAAAAAAGCAUGCUGUGGAGGCAUGCGCCUGGCUCUCAUGUAAAUAGGAGCCUUCUCAUCUCAAAGCCUCACCUGCACAGGACAAGAGCUAUUCCCUGGUCCAGAAGCACAGGCCAACCACCCUCUGCUCAGCGAAGCUCUCCUUGCUUGUCCCCAGGCAGAGUGAGUAGCCUGUCCCCUCUCCUGCUACGUCCCUGCUGUGUGCAUCCCCGCGUACGUCUCCCCGUGCCUGCUACGGGACGCACCUACGUAGAGAAGAGUAAAAGAAAAGUGUGUAU